RNAcentral lists this long non-coding RNA (450 nucleotides) under Brassica napus (rape). Its description in RNAcentral is "long non-coding RNA (BNAP_LNC006924)". The record is from RNAcentral. Lineage: Eukaryota; Viridiplantae; Streptophyta; Magnoliopsida; Brassicales; Brassicaceae.
AUACGAGAGAGACGACGAGACAGACGACGAUCGCUGAGACGACAUAGUCGACGAGAAUCAACAGAUACGAAGAUAUUCUAGUGAGAAGACGGAGAAGUCGAGAAUGCAAACCAAAAGCCAUUUGACUUUGUCACGACGAAAGAGAGAGAGCAUUUGAUUUGCGGUCGAAUCAUAACCCGCCACGUAAGGGCUUUCUAGCUGCUCUAAAAAACCCAAAUAAGACAGCGGCUCUAAAGUUUUUUGGCCUUUUUGAUUUAUUUUUAAUCACCUUUUCUUAAGAGCCUGUUGUUAAGAACUCCCGAUGGACCUGCUCUCAUAGUCUCAUAGAUACAGAAUCUAGAUUUUUGUUAUUGUUUUGUCUUAGUUAUUUGAGACGAUGAUGAUCUUAAGGAGAAUUGACUUUUAACUUGCUAAAACCCUCGUCUUCUAUUUCUUGUUUCAGUCAAUUUC